AACGAACGCUGGCGGCGCGCCUAAUACAUGCAAGUCGAGCGAGAAGACGUAGCAAUACGUUUGUAAAGCGGCGAACGGGUGAGGAAUACAUGGGUAACCUACCCUCGAGUGGGGAAGUAACUAGCCGAAAGGUUAGCUAAUACCGCGUACGCUCCUUGGACUUCGGUUCAGGGAGGAAAGCGAUACCGUGGGUAUCGCGCUCUUGGAUGGGCUCAUGUCCUAUCAGCUUGUUGGUGAGGUAACGGCUCACCAAGGCUUCGACGGGUAGCUGGUCUGAGAGGACAAUCAGCCACACUGGCACUGCGACACGGGCCAGACUCCUACGGGAGGCAGCAGUAAGGAAUAUUGCGCAAUGGGCGAAAGCCUGACGCAGCGACGCCGCGGUGGGGGAGUGAA
RNAcentral lists this ribosomal RNA (396 nucleotides) under uncultured bacterium. RNAcentral describes it as "bacterial SSU rRNA". It matches the Rfam family "Bacterial small subunit ribosomal RNA", at positions 29 to 412 of the family's 1533-position model. The record is from RNAcentral.